AUUGAACGCUGGCGGCAUGCUUUACACAUGCAAGUCGAACGGGGUGAGGGGCGAACUCCUCAUUCAGUGGCGAACGGGUGAGUAAUGCAUCGGAACGUGUCCCGUAGUGGGGAGUAACUCGGCGAAAGCCGUGCUAAUACCGCAUAUGCUCUACGGAGGAAAGUGGGGACCUGCAAGGGCCUCACGCUAUGGGAGCGGCCGAUGUCCGAUUAGCUUGUUGGCGGGG
RNAcentral lists this ribosomal RNA (226 nucleotides) under uncultured bacterium. Its description in RNAcentral is "partial 16S ribosomal RNA". It matches the Rfam family "Bacterial small subunit ribosomal RNA", at positions 30 to 257 of the family's 1533-position model. The record is from RNAcentral.